This 459-nucleotide ribosomal RNA is filed under the name uncultured bacterium. RNAcentral's name for it is "partial 16S ribosomal RNA". It matches the Rfam family "Bacterial small subunit ribosomal RNA", at positions 338 to 795 of the family's 1533-position model. The record is from RNAcentral.
CCUACGGGUGGCAGCAGUGAGGAAUAUUGGUCAAUGGGCGGGAGCCUGAACCAGCCAAGCCGCGUGAGGGAAGAAGGUACAGCGUAUCGUAAACCUCUUUUGUCAGGGAACAAAGGCGGGGACUAGUCCCCGGCUGAGGGUACCUGAAAAAAAAACAUCGGCUACCUCCUUGCCAGCAGCCGCGUUAAUCCGGAGGACGCGAGCGUUAUCCGGUUUUAGGGGGUUAAAGGGAGCCGCAGGGGGCCUGUUAGGCCUGCGGUAAAAGCCCGGGGCUCAACCCAGGCCAGCCGGUGAAACUGGCGGGCUGGAGUGGGAGAGAGGUACGCGGAAUGCGCGGUGUAGCGGUGAAAUGCGUAGAUAUCGCGCAGAACCCCGAUUGCGAAGGCAGCGUACCGGAUCCAGACUGACGCUGAGGCACGAAAGCGUGGGUAUCGAACAGGAUUAGAUACCCGGGUAGUC